CCAGACUCCUACGGGAGGCAGCAGCGGGGAAUAUUGCACAAUGGGGGAAACCCUGAUGCAGCGACGCCGCGUGAGUGAAGAAGUAUUUCGGUAUGUAAAGCUCUAUCAGCAGGAAAGAAAAUGACGGUACCUGACUAAGAAGCCCCGGCUAACUACGUGCCAGCAGCCGCGGUAAUACGUAGGGGGCAAGCGUUAUCCGGAUUUACUGGGUGUAGAGGGAGCGUAGACGGUGAAGCAAGUCUGAAGUGAAAGGCGGGGGCUCAACCCCCGGACUGCUUUGGAAACUGUUUGACUGGAGUGCAGGAGAGGUAGGUGGAAUUCCUAGUGUAGCGGUGAAAUGCGUAGAUAUUAGGAGGAACACCAGUGGCGAAGGCGGUCUGCUGGACAGCAACUGACGCUGAGGCGCGAAAGCGUGGGGAGCAAACAGGAUUAGAUACCCCGGUAUAG
This 447-nucleotide ribosomal RNA is filed under the name uncultured bacterium. RNAcentral's name for it is "partial 16S ribosomal RNA". It matches the Rfam family "Bacterial small subunit ribosomal RNA", at positions 331 to 793 of the family's 1533-position model. The record is from RNAcentral.